RNAcentral lists this ribosomal RNA (253 nucleotides) under uncultured bacterium. RNAcentral's name for it is "partial 16S ribosomal RNA". It matches the Rfam family "Bacterial small subunit ribosomal RNA", at positions 524 to 776 of the family's 1533-position model. The record is from RNAcentral.
UACGGAGGGUGCAAGCGCUGUCCGGAUUUAUUGGGUUUAAAGGGUGCGUAGGUGGCCCUGUAAGUCAGUGGUGAAAUUCUUGAGCUUAACUGAAGGAUUGCCAUUGAUACUGUAGGGCUUGAGUACAGAUGAGGUAGGCGGAAUUGAUGGUGUAGCGGUGAAAUGCAUAGAUACCAUCAAGAACACCGAUUGCGAAGGCAGCUUACUAAGCUGUAACUGACGCUGAUGCACGAAAGCGUGGGGAUCGAACAGG